UGAGGAAUAUUGGACAAUGGAGGCAACUCUGAUCCAGCCAUGCCGCGUGUAGGAAGACGGCCCUAUGGGUUGUAAACUACUUUUGUACGGGAAGAAAUACAGUCACGUGUGAUUGUUUGACGGUACCGUAAGAAUAAGCACCGGCUAACUCCGUGCCAGCAGCCGCGGUAAUACGGAGGGUGCAAGCGUUAUCCGGAAUCAUUGGGUUUAAAGGGUCCGUAGGCGGGUAAUUAAGUCAGUGGUGAAAUGCAGGGGCUCAACUCCGGCACUGCCAUUGAUACUGGUUAUCUUGAAUUAUUGUGAAGUGGUUAGAAUAUGUAGUGUAGCGGUGAAAUGCUUAGAUAUUACAUAGAAUACCGAUUGCGAAGGCAGAUCACUAACAAUAUAUUGACGCUGAUGGACGAAAGCGUGGGGAGCGAACAGG
Molecule: ribosomal RNA, 424 nt
Filed under: uncultured bacterium
Lineage: Bacteria
Description: bacterial SSU rRNA
Rfam family: Bacterial small subunit ribosomal RNA
Source: RNAcentral